RNAcentral lists this small RNA (311 nucleotides) under uncultured bacterium. RNAcentral's name for it is "bacterial SSU rRNA". The stretch from base 1 to 272 matches the Rfam family "Bacterial small subunit ribosomal RNA", at positions 91 to 355 of the family's 1533-position model. The record is from RNAcentral.
GUUAGCGGCGGACGGGUGAGUAACACGUGGGCAACCUGCCUAUAAGACUGGGAUAACUUCGGGAAACCGGAGCUAAUACCGGAUAAUUCUUUUCUACACAUGUAGAAAAGCUAAAAGACGGUUUACGCUGUCACUUAUAGAUGGGCCCGCGGCGCAUUAGCUAGUUGGUGAGGUAACGGCUCACCAAGGCCAGGAUGAGUAGCCGACCUGAGAGGGUGAUCGGCCACACUGGGACUGAUAUCACGGCCCAGACGACUACGGGAGGCAGCAGUCCAUCUUGCUAUNAACUCGAGCCUCCGGAAGAUACUGGG